Strongylocentrotus purpuratus (purple sea urchin) is the source of this 874-nucleotide long non-coding RNA. RefSeq lists it as uncharacterized. The transcript is spliced from 2 exons. NCBI's taxonomy places the organism in Eukaryota, Metazoa, Echinodermata, Echinoidea, Camarodonta, Strongylocentrotidae. The record is from RefSeq and is a predicted model, not a curated record.
GGGGGGGGUCACAAGUCCACAAAACCUUUGACACAAUUAAAAGUUCAUCAUAUUUUGAUGCGUUCUCUGUGACAUAAAUAAAGGUUCAUCACAUUUUGAUGCGUUGAACUCCAAAAUGCCCUGACAAUGAAUAGUAAAUAAUUAGGCUAUCGUAAUUUCAAGGUGCCUCUUUGGAAGUCAGCAAUAUUAUUUUUGCCGAGGGAGGGCGCCAUCACGGGAAAUAUUUAUGUGAUUCCGUGAUUCUGUUGAGAUGUCAAACCGUCACGCUUGGAAUUGACCAUAUGUUGUGUUUUUUGUACGCAUAACUGUAAUAACUUUCUUCCUCGGUCGAAUCUUUGUAGUACUGAUUUCAUUUUCAAUUUUUGUUUUUGUAAAUCUUAAAAUUGAAAUUUACCUAUCGUAUGUAAGUGUUCUUUUUUUCCCUUUUUUUUUUGUACUUUGUAUUUUGUAUUUUGUAUUUAUCAUUAUUCUGCUUGGGUCUAAUUUCAUCCUAUGUAUUAACUUUACUUCUCAACUUGCCUUUCUCUCAUUCAAUUUUCCUUCCUCUUCCUCUCUCUCUCUCUCUCUCUCUCUCUCUAUCUCUAUCGCCCUCUCGUGUUCUCUAUGAUCCAGCUGUAGCUGUAUAUGUAUUCUCUCCCUCCUGUUGUUGUACAUGCAACAGUAUACAAUGCAAUUUAUACUGAUGGGGUCGAAUUCACAAGAUCUUUAACUAGAUCGUUAAUCUGAUCCCCACUCAAUUUAUGUUACUUGUGAUGUCAACUACUGAUUUUACUAUGUCCAUCUUUUUAUAUUUGUUAUACAUGUCUGCGUUUAUUCGCAAUUCUAUGUAUCUGUUUUUAUAUUGAGUGAAUAAAUGAUUUGAAUUUGAAUUUGA